UUGGUGGAGCAUGUGGUUUAAUUCGAAGCAACGCGAAGAACCUUACCAAAUCUUGACAUCCUUUGAAAACUCUAGAGAUAGAGCCUUCCCCUUCGGGGGACAAAGUGACAGGUGGUGCAUGGUUGUCGUCAGCUCGUGUCGUGAGAUGUUGGGUUAAGUCCCGCAACGAGCGCAACCCUUAAGCUUAGUUGCCAUCAUUAAGUUGGGCACUCUAGGUUGACUGCCGGUGACAAACCGGAGGAAGGUGGGGAUGACGUCAAAUCAUCAUGCCCCUUAUGAUUUGGGCUACACACGUGCUACAAUGGACACGUU
RNAcentral lists this ribosomal RNA (312 nucleotides) under Staphylococcus xylosus. RNAcentral's name for it is "bacterial SSU rRNA". It matches the Rfam family "Bacterial small subunit ribosomal RNA", at positions 931 to 1240 of the family's 1533-position model. Lineage: Bacteria; Bacillati; Bacillota; Bacilli; Caryophanales; Staphylococcaceae. The record is from RNAcentral.